Molecule: long non-coding RNA, 552 nt
Filed under: Cyanistes caeruleus (blue tit)
Lineage: Eukaryota; Metazoa; Chordata; Aves; Passeriformes; Paridae
Description: lncRNA (ENSCCEG00000001263.1)
Source: RNAcentral
UAUAAAUGCUGUUAUAACUUUAUUCUCUUCUUUGAUUUUUGAAUAGAAGUGCUCUAUGUAUUUGUAACUUGUGGUCUAAAAGGACAAGGAGCUCUGAAUCACACUGGGACCCUCUUUACUGGUAUUGCUAACACAGUUGGAUUCCUGUACUGUAAAGGUGGUAAAGAUGAAGGAGCUACAAAUGACUAGGCUUAAGGAACAGGAAGGUAAAAAGUUUAUUUGUGCUGCUUCCACCUCAGCAGUUUUGCAGUGUCAGAUAUGUGGUAUCAAAUCUCCAGAGGAAACACAAAGGUUAGUCCUGGAAAAGAUGACAUUCCUGAAGGAAAGAGAAAAUAAGCACAAGGUUUUCUGGGGUGCAGUAGGUUAAUUGGUGUCUCUGAAAAUUAGGCUGUAAGUGGGUAUUGUUUCAGUUAGAAAAUAGAUUGGGUUUAUGAGGCAGUUCUUUUUAUAUGAUUGAAUUAACUCUAAGCUUCUUUAUGAGCUAUUUAUAUUGAUGUCCAAAUCUUCUGCUAGCAAAAGGAAAAUACUUUCUGAGGAUGUAAUUAAUUUGUU